Molecule: ribosomal RNA, 403 nt
Filed under: bacterium
Lineage: Bacteria
Description: partial 16S ribosomal RNA
Rfam family: Bacterial small subunit ribosomal RNA
Source: RNAcentral
UGGGGAAUAUUGCACAAUGGAGGGAACUCUGAUGCAGCGACGCCGCGUGAACGAAGAAGGCUUUCGAGUCGUAAAGUUCUUUUAUAUGGGAAGAUAAUGACGGUACCAUAAGAAAAAGCCCCGGCUAACUACGUGCCAGCAGCCGCGGUAAUACGUAGGGGGCUAGCGUUGUCCGGAAUCACUGGGCGUAAAGGGUUCGCGGGCGGAAAUGCAAGUCAGGUGUAAAAGGCAGUAGCUUAACUACUGUAAGCAUUUGAAACUGCAUAUCUUGAGAAGAGUAGAGGUAAGUGGAAUUGUUAGUGUAGCGGUGAAAUGCGUAGAUAUUAAAAAGAAUACCGGUGGCGAAGGCGGCUUACUGGGCUCAUUCUGACGCUGAGGAACGAAAGCGUGGGUAGCAAACAGG